Molecule: RNA transcript, 1788 nt
Organism: Capsicum annuum
Lineage: Eukaryota; Viridiplantae; Streptophyta; Magnoliopsida; Solanales; Solanaceae
Exons: 7
Source: RefSeq, a predicted model, not a curated record
UGGAAUUCAUAUCUUAGCACUAGGUCAAUUUUUUUAUUUAUUUUUGUAGUCAGAUUCUUCUAUGUAAACCUUUUGUGUUCAUCUACAUGAUUCUUGGACACAAAUUUAUGGUGUAGUAUUUCAAUUCUUUCUCUGUUCGGGUGGUACUAAAGGCAUCCCUUUUGCCAAUUAUUUGGUAUUGACUUGUUAUCGAUGUCGAAGAUUAAAUGUUUUAAGAAUCCACUAAAGUCUGCUAAAGAAUAUGCUUCAUCAUCAACUACCCCAGCGCCAAGAGCCCUCCCAGAUGCUUCAACAAAUCACUCACAAGUUCAUGAAGUCCAACAACAACAAGUAGCUCAUACUCUCCCCCAACAAGAACAAGUUUCAAUUCUCCCACAACAAGAACAAGCUUCAAUUUUUUCGCCGCAAGAACAAGCUUCAAUUCUACCUUCUAAUUUAAGUGCAACAUUGGUGCAUCGACGUUUAUCUCCAAAAUAUUGGAGAGUAGAUACAGAAGAUAUAUAUGUCUUAUACUCAAAAAAGUUAUCAAGCAAAUUAAUGUCAAGAUCAAUGAGGUUAAUUACCUACCUGUUGGAGAGCGUAUCAUUGUGAAUUUUGAUGACUAUGAUGCAGCAUAUGGUGAUGUGCAAGGAUUACUCACCGGCUAUUGUGGAUCAUUUGCAAUUAAUUGUAAUUUAUUUUCUAUUAGUUUUGAGAAGUGGUCAUGGCCAUCAGGCAUGCCUAGGAAGUACAAGGAAGACUGCUUUGGAACAAUACUGAAGUGUCGUUUUCUUUUUCGGACAAAUGAGUCCAUUGCAUACAGAUAUUUGUAAUGCUAGUAUCUCAAAGAAGUGGGCUACACAUAGGCAAAGGUUAUGGAAUGAAUAUUUUGGCCCAUCCAAAAGCAAAAAUGAGAUUAUUGGUAAUGUACCAUCUGGUAUAACUAAAGAUCAAUGGUCUAGUUUUGUUGCUUACCGCCUGAAACCAUCAACAAUAGAGCUUUGUAGAAGAAAUAAAGAAAUUCAGUGGAAGCAAAACAAGCCACACACUGGUGGUUCAAAAGCUAACUCAAGAAGACGAUAUGAACUAAAAAGCUCCUAGUCGUGGACAAAUGUUUAUUGAAACUCAUAAGAGAAAUAAUGGAUCAUUUGUGAAUGAUGAGGCUCGAACCAUAGCGGAACAAAUUGAAUCGCAUAUGACUCAGUGUAACAUCAAUGAGUCAGAAGUUUCCCCAGGAGAUAUUAUUGGCAAGAUGUUAGGGGCAGAGCACUCUGGAAGAGUAAGAUGUAUGGAUAUGAGAGCAGCUCCAUCAAACACAUUCGUAAAUAUCAAACGACGAUGUAGCGAGUUGAGCAUGUCUUCCUCUAGCUAUGGUGAAUCAUCAACAACUUCUACCUAUUUGCAUAAAAAGGUUGCGCGUUUGGAUUCCCAAUUAGAAGUUACCCUGACUGCGUUGAAGAAUCACAUGAUAUCAAAGAAAGGAGGGAUUCCUGAAGAGUUUGCUAGUUUUUUUCUCCUUAACCAUAGCCUGCAGAAGCGGAAGAGAAUGAACCUAUUUCACUGGUGGAUGUAAGGGGCUCAUCACCUGAUAACAACGCAAACCUUCAAUUAAAUGCUUAGUGUUUUAUUCGUAGACAACAUAAAUUCUUCAUAUGGCUUUGAAUUUGUAAUAUUUGUCUAGAUGUGUUUACCGUAGUUUAGUUUGAUGUUCAGUCCCUACUUUAGUUUGAUGUUUCAGUACUUUCAUUAGUUUGAUGUUUAGUACCUACUUUAAUUUAAUGUUUAGUACUAACAUUAGUUUGAUGUUUA